GCCUUCUUAGCUCAGCUGGUUAGAGCAGUAGACUGUUAAUCUAUUGGUCCUAGGUUCGAAUCCUAGAGAAGGCG
Molecule: transfer RNA, 74 nt
Filed under: Flavobacteriaceae bacterium
Lineage: Bacteria; Pseudomonadati; Bacteroidota; Flavobacteriia; Flavobacteriales; Flavobacteriaceae
Also listed under: 1 other name
Description: tRNA-Asn
Rfam family: tRNA
About the family: Transfer RNA (tRNA) molecules are approximately 80 nucleotides in length. Their secondary structure includes four short double-helical elements and three loops (D, anti-codon, and T loops).
Source: RNAcentral